AAAAUCAAAAAAACUGACCCAGCAAUGCCGCGUGAGUGAAGAAGGCCUUAGGGUUGUAAAGCUCUUUCGGCGGGGACGAUGAUGACGGUACCCGCAGAAGAAGCCCCGGCUAACUUCGUGCCAGCAGCCGCGGUAAUACGAAGGGGGCUAGCGUUGUUCGGAAUCACUGGGCGUAAAGGGCGCGUAGGCGGCGCGACAAGUCAGGCGUGAAAGCCCCGGGCUCAACCCGGGAAUUGCGCUUGAUACUGUCGUGCUUGAGGCCGGGAGAGGAUGGCGGAAUUCCCAGUGUAGAGGUGAAAUUCGUAGAUAUUGGGAAGGACACCGGUGGCGAAGGCGGCCAUCUGGACCGGUUCUGACGCUGAGGCGCGAAAAGUGGGGAGCAAACAAGAUUAGAUACCCUGGUAGUCCACGCCGUAAACGAUGAGUGAAACACAAAGGAAGGGACACCCUCCGGUGUCGCAGCUAACGCUUUAAGCACUCCGCCUGGGGAGUACGGUCGC
RNAcentral lists this ribosomal RNA (500 nucleotides) under uncultured bacterium. Its description in RNAcentral is "bacterial SSU rRNA". It matches the Rfam family "Bacterial small subunit ribosomal RNA", at positions 370 to 889 of the family's 1533-position model. The record is from RNAcentral.